AAAAUGGCAGAAGUUAUGCGUAGAUUUUAAGCGUCUAUUAAGAAUUAUAUUCUUUU
This 56-nucleotide transfer RNA is filed under the name Gyraulus laevis. Its description in RNAcentral is "tRNA-Leu". Lineage: Eukaryota; Metazoa; Mollusca; Gastropoda; Planorbidae. The record is from RNAcentral.